AAGUUGACCAUCAUGCAGAUGUUCCAGGAACUGCACACAGUGCAUGACAUUUUCUAUGCCGAUAUGUUGCAACAUGCAACAUAUUGGUAUGGAAAAUGUCAUGGAAGAUGAUGGGCACUGCAUGCAGUUCUUGGAAUAUCUGAAUGGUGGUCAUAUUGAACUUUGUGUAAUUGACAGUGGGUGUUGGCACGUAUUGUUUAGAGGCUUGAUGUGUCUUGUCUCGUUUGGUGAUUGCACGUUCCUUAAUCGCACAUUCUGCACUUUUGCAGCAUCACAAUCCCCCUGCUGGUGAUUUUUGGUAUUAAAUUUUUUUCGGAAUCGAAGCUGUAUGUUCC
RNAcentral lists this long non-coding RNA (335 nucleotides) under Androctonus crassicauda. Lineage: Eukaryota; Metazoa; Arthropoda; Arachnida; Scorpiones; Buthidae. The record is from RNAcentral.